This 29-nucleotide non-coding RNA is filed under the name Homo sapiens (human). The record is from RNAcentral. Lineage: Eukaryota; Metazoa; Chordata; Mammalia; Primates; Hominidae.
UGCAGGUGGAAACAGCUGUGUCAAGGCUC